This 600-nucleotide long non-coding RNA is filed under the name Equus caballus (horse). RNAcentral's name for it is "lncRNA (ENSECAG00000048189.1)". Lineage: Eukaryota; Metazoa; Chordata; Mammalia; Perissodactyla; Equidae. The record is from RNAcentral.
GAGUGAAAAGUGCCAGUCCCCGCUGAUCCUCAUCAGCCCUGAUGGAGACUCCAAAGAGCUGGUAGGUGCAAGAAGCACCACGUUCUGUGGAACAAUCUCCGUGGCUGGUGGUGGAGCCAAACUCUGGAACCUGGGAAUGAACACUGCUCUAAGUGCUAAUGUGCAAGCUGAGAAAUGCCCAACUCAGAAGUGGCUUGACCAACAGGAUGACCACUAGGAAAGAACAAAAGGCCCGAAUCCACUUGGCUGGAGGAAUAUUUGGACACAGAGAGAGACCCACAGGAAGAAUGCCGUGUGAAGACUGGAGUUAUGCUGCCACAAGCCGAGGAAUGCCAGAGAUUGCCAGCAAACCAACAGAAGCAAGUAGAGAGUCAAGGAAUAGAUUCUCCCGCACAGCCCUCAGAAGGAUCCAACCUUACCAAUACCUUGAUCUCAGGCUUCUAGCUCCCCAGAACUGUGAGACAAUAAAUUUCUGUUGCUCAAAGCCAGUCGGUUUGUGGUGCUUUGUCACAGCAGCUCUCGGAAACUAAAAUAUCUAGGGAAAAGAUUUAGACAUUUCAUUGCAUCCAGGCUAGUAUGGACCUGUAGGGGACUAAUGAA